UACGUAGGUGGCAAGCGUUAUCCGGAUUUAUUGGGCGUAAAGGGAACGCAGGCGGUCUUUUAAGUCUGAUGUGAAAGCCUUCGGCUUAACCGGAGUAGUGCGUUGGAAACUGGGAGACUUGAGUGCAGAAGAGGAGAGUGGAACUCCAUGUGUAGCGGUGAAAUGCGUAGAGAUAUGGAGGAACACCAGUGGCGAAGGCGGCUUCCUGGUCUGCAACUGACACUGAGGCGCGAAAGCGUGGGGAGCAAACAGG
This 253-nucleotide ribosomal RNA is filed under the name uncultured bacterium. RNAcentral describes it as "partial 16S ribosomal RNA". It matches the Rfam family "Bacterial small subunit ribosomal RNA", at positions 524 to 776 of the family's 1533-position model. The record is from RNAcentral.